GUGGCAGGGGCGGCGGUAAUACGAGUGACCCAAGCAUUGUCCGGAAUUAUUGGGCGUAAAGGGUCCGCAGGUGGUUUUGUAAGUCGACAGUCAAAUUUCCCGGCUCAACUGGGAACCUGCUGGCGAAACUGCAAGACUAGAGACUGGGAGAGGCAGACGGAAUGGUAGGUGUAGGGGUCAAAUCCGUUAAUAUCUACUAGAACACCAAAGGCGAAAGCAGUCUGCUUGAACAGUUCUGACACUCAGGGACGAAAGCGUGGGGAGCGAAUGGGAUUAGAUACCCCAGUAGUCCACGCCGUAAACGAUGGGCACUAAACAUUGGUAGUCUCGACCCUAUCAGUGUUGUUCUACUCAAGGUAACCCCUUAAGUGCCCCGCCUGGGAAGUACGAGCGCAAGCUUAAAACUCAAAGGAAUAGACGGGGACUCGAACAAGCGGUGGAGCGUGUGGUUUAAUUCGAUUCUACGCGAGGAACCUUACCAGGGUUUGACAUCUAGCCUAUGUCUCCGGUUAAUCCCGGAUUCUUAGUGGCUAUGACAGGUGAUGCAUGGUUGUCGUCAGCAUGUGCUGUGAAGUGCACCGUUAACUCGGGUAACAUGCGCAACCCUCGUUCUGUGUUGUUUUUUCACAGAAGACUGCCGGCGUUAAGUCGGAGGAAGGCGGGGAUGACGCCAAAUCAGCAUGUCCCUUACACCCUGGGCUACACACGCGCUACAAUGGCCAGUACAACGGGACGCCAAAUCGCAAGAUGGAGCUAAUCCUAAUAAAGCUGGUCCCAGUUCGGAUUGUGGGCUGCAACUCGCCCACAUGAAGUUGGAAUCGCUAGUAACCGUGGAUCAGCCUCGCCACGGUGAAUACGUUCUCGAGUCUUGUACUCACUGCCCGUCAUAUCAGGGAAGCCGGUAAUGCCCGAAGUACCACGUUCGUGGGCCUAAGGUAGGACUGGUGACAAGGAUAAAGUCGUAACAAGGUAACC
Molecule: ribosomal RNA, 975 nt
Filed under: uncultured bacterium
Lineage: Bacteria
Description: bacterial SSU rRNA
Rfam family: Bacterial small subunit ribosomal RNA
Source: RNAcentral